CCGGAGUGGACGAACCUCUGGUGUUCGGGUUGUGUCGCCAGACGCAUUGCCCGGUAGCUAAGUUCGGAAUUGAUAAGCGCUGAAAGCAUCUAAGCGCGAAGCGAGCCCUGAGAUGAGUCUUCCCUGACAGUUUAACUGUCCUAAAGGGUUGUUCGAGACUAGAACGUUGAUAGGCAGGGUGUGUAAGCGUUGUGAGGCGUUGAGCUAACCUGUACUAAUUGCCCGUGAGGCUUAACCAUACAACACCCAAGGGGUUUUGUA
RNAcentral lists this ribosomal RNA (261 nucleotides) under Vibrio cholerae. RNAcentral's name for it is "partial 23S ribosomal RNA". It matches the Rfam family "Bacterial large subunit ribosomal RNA", at positions 2692 to 2925 of the family's 2925-position model. The record is from RNAcentral. Lineage: Bacteria; Pseudomonadati; Pseudomonadota; Gammaproteobacteria; Vibrionales; Vibrionaceae.